AAUAUUUAAUAAUUUUUAUUUCUUAGAUCUUCAUCCAACGGUAUAGAUUUUUAAAAUCCGCUGGAUUCAGGUUCGGGUUUCGAAUUUUUGGUCGGUUAUGGAUAUGGGUAUGAAUUUUUAAAAUCCGUCGGAUUCGGAUCCAAGUUUGGAUUUUAAUUUGAUUUUCGGGUUCGGGUUCGGAUUUUUGAAAAAGAAAAGAAAAGGAAUACAAAUUCCCUAUUCCUCUUUUCAAUAUACAAAAAAUACGUACUAAAUACGGUGAGCCAUUCGCCUUGUUUAAACACUGUGAAUGGUUCACCGUGUUUAACUUAAUUAUCAUCCGCGUGGCGCUGACGUGGCGCUUGCGUGGCAGGUUUAGAGCCAUUUUUACAAAUUAAAUUUUAACAGAACUAUUUUUAAAAUAAAAAUUUGCCAGGGUGCAAAAUGCAAAAAAAGCCCUGUGUUGUGGUUUAAUUUGGUGGUGAGGUCUACAUUUUAUUAGAUAAAAUAGAGUUCCGUAAAAAUAUAUAGAAAUUUAUUUUUACGUUUUUAGAUAGAAUCGUAAAAAAUAUAUUAUAAUUAACUAAUUACGAUAUGCAUAAUAUAAUAUUACAUACUAAAAUAAAUAAAAUAUAUUUUUAUUGUACUUUUUCAAUGUGUGUAAUUUUGAAAAUUAAAUAUCAAAUUUAGAAAAUAG
RNAcentral lists this long non-coding RNA (676 nucleotides) under Ananas comosus (pineapple). Its description in RNAcentral is "long non-coding RNA (ACOM_LNC018870)". Lineage: Eukaryota; Viridiplantae; Streptophyta; Magnoliopsida; Poales; Bromeliaceae. The record is from RNAcentral.